AAUGGGAAAUGAUGACAGCUUAAUUGCUGGAUAGUAUCUGAGCAAGCUUUGAAGAUUUAUCUUUUGCACGUCAGUCUGAUCCCUAU
Small nucleolar RNA from Gossypium raimondii (Peruvian cotton), 86 nucleotides. It matches the Rfam family "Small nucleolar RNA Z122". Rfam says of the family: Z122 is a member of the C/D class of snoRNA which contain the C (UGAUGA) and D (CUGA) box motifs. Most of the members of the box C/D family function in directing site-specific 2'-O-methylation of substrate RNAs. Lineage: Eukaryota; Viridiplantae; Streptophyta; Magnoliopsida; Malvales; Malvaceae. The record is from Rfam.